RNAcentral lists this long non-coding RNA (2681 nucleotides) under Nicotiana benthamiana. Its description in RNAcentral is "long non-coding RNA (NBEN_LNC005299)". Lineage: Eukaryota; Viridiplantae; Streptophyta; Magnoliopsida; Solanales; Solanaceae. The record is from RNAcentral.
CCAAACCCAUGUUUCUUCCUAUUAUUUCCUCUUCGAUACAAAAAUUCAUUCCCUUCCAGCCAUGGCAGAAGCUUGCCCCUCCAAUUUGGGGUAAGUUUCUCAUAUGCCUCAUCUUUUCUUGUUGAUGUCUGUGAAUUUCUCCUCUCUAAUCCCUAUCACGAGAUUUGGUCAAGCGAAAGGGACAAAGAACUUUUGAAGAAAUCUGCAGGUUUAGCUCUAUUCUUUCCAUUUGCUUCAUAAAAAUCUCUUCUCUUUGCUGUGGUAUUCAUGGUGGACAAUCAAUUCUUUGGUCCUUUGUCAAUUCAAAAUUCAACUAAUGAAUUUGUCUUCUCUAUUCAAUAUUAAAACGACACUUUUUAAUUCCCACUCUUCAAAACCCUAGCUUCUUGGCCUAUAAAUAUUCUCUUUUGGAGCUCACAAAAGGAGAUGGUUCAGCCUCCCCCUCCCCCCCCCCCCNNNNNNNNNNNNNNNNNNNNNNNNNNNNNNNNNNNNNNNNNNNNNNNNNNNNNNNNNNNNNNNNNNNNNNNNNNNNNNNNNNNNNNNNNNNNNNNNNNNNNNNNNNNNNNNNNNNNNNNNNNNNNNNCCCCUUUUUGACCCCAAAAUUGAUGGUUUUUAGCCGCCCUUUUACACCAAAACCUCAUGGUUGUUAAUGCCUCCUAACUUUAAACUUUGUUUGAAACUGCUGCCUUUCUCUUUAAACAAAAAGAAUCAGGCAUCUUUGUCCUCUUCAAGUCUAAGCUAGCGGGCUCGAGGUCGGGGUUCAGUAGUGCACUUAAGAUCUCCGCCUCAGUUCGCUGCCCUGCAAAAGGUACGUAUCAACUUUUCUUUCGACAAAUUUUUGGUUCUGAUUAGAGUAUGUUCGAUACUUGAUGCAUUUUUCUUCAAUACAUGUUAGUUUUGUUAGGCUUCCACGCUGUAAUACUAUAAAAAUGGGUGUUUGCUUUUAUAUUAUGUUUACCUUUAGUUUGAUGAAAUGAUUCUAUGACUAAAGUUGUUAGAAAUAAUUUUUUAAGGAGGUUAUAUUCUGAUUUGUGUAUUGAAACGUUUCUGCCUAUAUUCGAUAAAAUGCUCAUAUGAAAAUACAUCCUUUUUCAUAGUUCUUUGUCAGAUUCCAUAAUUUUAAGAAAGAUUUUGUCAUGGACUAGGUAUGUUGCAAAAGAUUCAUUUGUCAUGUGAUUUAGGACCUUUCUUAGGCACCAUGUUUAGGAGUCGAAAAUUUUGUUUAGUUAAAAGUAAACUAUUUGGUUUACUUCAUGUCUUUGAAGUUUGAAGAUUUGGUUUACUUCAUGUCUUUCACACCUCAGACUUGAUUUAUUUUAACUCAUGUUUUAAAAAAAUUGAUCUCCUCUUCAUUAUGGACUGUAAGGGCAAAGAUUGGUUUACUUAAUGUACUUUAAGAGGAUGAAAUCUGGGCAAUAAAAUUAUUGACCAUCCAUUUAAGCAUUAAAAAAAAAGCAUUCUAUUGGAGUAUGAAUGUAUAUACUCAUGGAUUUAGUUUUUUCUUCACAGGAGGUUUGGAUACUAUAGCUAUUGAAUAUUGAGCUUGCGAUUUAAAAAUGUUUGAAACUUUCUUCAUGCAUAUCUAGAAAUGCGGAUUUAAGAAACUGAAAGUAUUAAUGAAAUUGUGAUUGUUUCUUUCAUAGUUCUCUGAAAAUCAUAUCUUUUUGAGAUAUUGUAAUUAGCCUUUAAAUAAAAGAUAGAAUUUUCGCAUUCGACAAGGAAUCCGUCUAUUUUCUUUACAUUUUUCUUGCUAUUAAAUGAGUUUGUCUUUCUCGUGAACUAAAAGUUAGUUUCUAGGAAUCUGUUUGAAUUUUAAAGACCAUAAGAGGGGAGAAUACUUACUGCUCUUGUUUUACUAGGUCUCAGCAUCGUAGUGAUCACUACUUUUAGAAUAACCCGAUUACUUAGUUGUGUCAAGUUAAAUAUGCUCAUGUUAACUAACAGAUAUCAUGCCUGUUGCUUUUCUUGUUUUAUGUCAGUUUUAUUUGCCAUGAUAUUAGAAAAUUAUCUUACUCGAUUAAGAUCUCUAUCUAUGGAUAAUGUUUUGCUUUUCGACAAACGCCUUGAGUUUUACUUGAGAUGUUGGUGUUAGAAAGCAUAUUGUAGGAGAUUAUUUUAAAAUUCACAUUGUUCAUAAUUCUCAUUAGCUUAAAUAGCCGGUACCAAUAUGAAGAGAGGAAUUAACGAAAUGCUACAUUGAUGACUAAUCCGUUCUUGUUCUGAAAUUAAGAAUUGUGAAUUGAUGCUUUCCUUUAAUUUGGUGCAUUUUAAUUGUCCUUAUAAUGUAUUGAUGUACAAGGCUUCCUUAAUAAUUUUUAUUUUUCCUUUUUUUGCAUGAACACUUGGAGCAGAAUCGGAGUCUCACUCGAGACUCACACUACCCGAGCAGGGAGUCAUAGCAUCCCAUACCGUCUUCCAUAGAGUCCCGGAUAGCAAGAAAACAAGCGGAACGCUUGGGGACACCUAUGGGGUCUUUCAUUUUUCUUUGUCUUAUCAUUCGUUUAAUUUCUUUAUGAUUGUCGAUUUAUUUGGGGUUUGUCUUAUAAUAUAUUUGGUCGCUAAAUUUUAUUUUGUUUAAUGGCAUUUACUCAAGUUAAUAAUAAAUCGCCGAUUUUAUUUACGUGAGUCUUAAGGGCUUUUAAAAUCAACAAUUUGAGAUAAUGGACUUAUUUAUUUACUUU